CUUGAGUAGUAUUAGUUAUGAUCUUGAAACUUAAAAAAUUUGGCGGUAUUUUAGUCUAUUCAGAGGAACCUGUUCUGUAAUCGAUAAUCCACGAUGGACCUUUCUUAAAUUUGUAACCAGUUUAUAUACCGUCGUUAUUAGAAUAUUUUAUAAGAAAAAUAAUUUUCUAUAAUUUUUAUUAAAAUUUAUAUCAGAUCAAGGUGUAGCUUAUAUUUAAGUAGAAAUGGGUUACAAUAAAAGUAUUUAUAUGAAUAUAAAGAUGAAACCUUUAUUGAAAGUGGAUUUGAUAGUAAAAUUAUAAAGAUUAAUAAUUUGACCUUAGCUCUAAAAUAUGCACACAUCGCCCGUCGCUCUUAUUAUUAAGAUAAGAUAAGUCGUAACAUAGUAGAAGUACCGGAAGGUGUUUCUAGAAUGACAAUUUAAAGCUUAUUAAGUAAAGUAUUUCAUUUACAUUGAAAAGAUUUUUGUGCAAACCAAUAUAAAUUGAUUAAAUUUUAUUUAUUUACUUAUUUGUUUGUUUAAAUUAUAAUUUAUUAAAAAUAAUUAUAAUGUAUAAUGUUUUAGUAUUGUAUAAAGAAAAAAUAAAUUUAAUAAUAGUUUAUUAGUAUCGUGAGAGAAUAUUGAAAUAAUUUGAAAAA
RNAcentral lists this ribosomal RNA (638 nucleotides) under Pherbellia annulipes. Its description in RNAcentral is "partial 12S ribosomal RNA". The stretch from base 416 to 487 matches the Rfam family "tRNA". Lineage: Eukaryota; Metazoa; Arthropoda; Insecta; Diptera; Sciomyzidae. The record is from RNAcentral.